This is a ribosomal RNA of Nosema bombycis CQ1, 98 nucleotides long. It matches the Rfam family "Eukaryotic large subunit ribosomal RNA", at positions 2885 to 2984 of the family's 3401-position model. The record is from Rfam. NCBI's taxonomy places the organism in Eukaryota, Fungi, Microsporidia, Nosematidae.
NNNNUCUGAUCAUCGUACUGUAUAUGUUACGAAGUGUUGGAUUGUUUCACCCGUUAAUGAGGAACGUGAGAUGGGUUUAGACCGUCGUGAGACAGGUU